Cercocebus atys (sooty mangabey) is the source of this 477-nucleotide non-coding RNA. Lineage: Eukaryota; Metazoa; Chordata; Mammalia; Primates; Cercopithecidae. The record is from the annotation of a RefSeq genome assembly.
AGCUCAAGGGAGUUUCUUGAAGCAAAAAAAAAAAACCAUUCAGGAAAUAAUUCUUUGCUGAUAAGGAUGCUCCUUGAACGUUUAUUAAUAAUCUUGUGGAUGCAGCUGACAUGGGUCAGUGGUCAACAGCUGAAUCAGAGUCCUCAUUCAUUGUCUGUCCAGGAAAGAGAGGAUGUCUCCAUGAACUGCACUUCUUCAAGCACAUUUAACACCUUUCUAUGGUACAAGCAGGACCCUGGGGAAGGUCCUGUCCUCUUGAUGGCCUUAUUUAAGCCUGGUGAAUUGACCUCAAAUGGGAGACUGUCUGCUCAGUUUGGUAUAACCAGAAAGGACAGCUUCCUGAAUAUCUCAGCGUCCGUGCCUAGUGAUGUAGGCACCUACUUCUGUGCCGGGCAACACAGUGCUCCCCAAGCACCUGCAGCCUGUACUCAAACUUGCAGCUGGAACUCCAGUCUCUAUGCUGCCUUCAGCUCUUAG